GAGUUUGAUCAUGGCUCAGAACGUACGCUGGCGGCACGCCUAACACAUGCAAGUCGGACGAAGUAGCAAUACUUAGUGGCAGACGGGUGAGUAACAUGUAGGUAUCUGCCCUUUGGCCUGGAAUAACACGAGGAAACUUGUGCUAAUACCGGAUAAGUCUUUACGGAGAAAGCUUUAUGCACCAUUGGAUGAGCCUGCACUUGAUUAGUUUGUUGGUAGGGUAAUGGCCUACCAAGACUGUGAUCAAUAGCUGAUUUGAGAGGAUGAUCAGCCACAUUGGGACUGAGACACGGCCCAAACUCCUACGGGAGGCAGCAGUGGGGAAUCUUGCACAAUGGAGGAAACUCUGAUGCAGCGAUGCCGCGUGAGUGAAGAAGGCCUUUGGGUUGUAAAGCUCUUUCGUCGGGGAAGAAAAUGACUGUACCCGAAUAAGAAGGUCCGGCUAACUUCGUGCCAGCAGCCGCGGUAAUACGAAGGGACCUAGCGUAGUUCGGAAUUACUGGGCUUAAAGAGUUCGUAGGUGGUUGAAAAAGUUGGUGGUGAAAUCCCAGAGCUUAACUCUGGAACUGCCAUCAAAACUUUUCAGCUAGAGUAUGAUAGAGGAAAGCAGAAUUUCUAGUGUAGAGGUGAAAUUCGUAGAUAUUAGAAAGAAUACCAAUUGCGAAGGCAGCUUUCUGGAUCACUACUGACGCUGAGGAACGAAAGCAUGGGUAGCGAAGAGGAUUAGAUACCCUCGUAGUCCAUGCCGUAAACGAUGUGUGUUAGACGUUGGAAAUUUAUUUUCAGUGUCGCAGCGAAAGCGAUAAACACACCGCCUGGGGAGUACGACCGCAAGGUUAAAACUCAAAUGAAUUGACGGGGACCCGCACAAGUAGUGGAGCAUGUGGUUUAAUUCGAAGAUACGCGCAGAACCUUACCAACACUUGACAUGUUCGUCGCGACUUUAAGAGAUUAAAGUUUUCGGUUCGGCCGGACGAAACACAGGUGCUGCAUGGCUGUCGUCAGCUCGUGUCGUGAGAUGUUGGGUUAAGUCCCGCAACGAGCGCAACCCUCACUUUUAGUUGCCAUCAUUAAGUUGGGCACUCUGAAAGAACUGCCAGUGAUAAGCUGGAGGAAGGUGGGGAUGACGUCAAGUCCUCAUGGCCCUUACGUGUUGGGCUACACACGUGCUACAAUGGUAUCUACAACAGGAAGCAAGACUGCGAAGUUAAGCAAAUCCUUAAAAGAUACCUCAGUUCGGAUUGCACUCUGCAACUCGAGUGCAUGAAGCUGGAAUUACUAGUAAUCGUGGAUCAGCGUGCCACGGUGAAUGCGUUCCCGGGUCUUGUACACACCGCCCGUCACACCAUGGGAGUUGGUUCUACCUUAAGGCAAGGUUUCAAACCCUUGACCACGGUAUAGUCAGCGACUGGGGUGAAGUCGUAACAAGGUAGCCGUAA
RNAcentral lists this ribosomal RNA (1439 nucleotides) under uncultured bacterium. RNAcentral describes it as "bacterial SSU rRNA". It matches the Rfam family "Bacterial small subunit ribosomal RNA". The record is from RNAcentral.